GAAAAUUAGGAACUCUGGAGACAGUCUGGCCUGCAUGCAAAUUCCUGCUCUACUUACUAACCCAGCAGUGGACACGAGGCCCCUGUGAGACCAUGGGAGUUUAUUGCCGGUUUUAAGAUGAGCCCUGGGGGUAGAACUGUGUUUUCAAGUUUUGAAGUCUCAUUCCAGGCUAUAUACUGACAUUCUAGCCACUAGCUCUGUUGUGUGUCUUUUCUAGGAGCAGACACAUGCCCAAGGCCUGCUGGAUUUUAGUGAUGGUUUAGCCAAGACCCAGGAUUGCUUUCUGCUCAUAGGGUCUUUGGGCCAGCUAAGGGAGAGAGAACUGCCAUUUACGGAGCCUCUUGUCAGGAUUUGAACACCGUUCCCACCUGCCCCAAACUGGCAACAUCUCUCAGGAGACCUUGCUUUCUCCUGGACCUCCAACAUCAUGGUUUCCCAUUUCAUGGGUUCUCUCAGAUUAAAAGGAAACCCAAUUUUCUCCCCAGAAGACGUAUAAUAAACGAUGAGGACUGCCUACUAUAACCAGCUAAUAAAAAUCUCUUUUGCGCCAGUCAGCUUGGUCCUUGUGCCU
RNAcentral lists this long non-coding RNA (571 nucleotides) under Dasypus novemcinctus (nine-banded armadillo). RNAcentral's name for it is "lncRNA (ENSDNOG00000050830.1)". Lineage: Eukaryota; Metazoa; Chordata; Mammalia; Cingulata; Dasypodidae. The record is from RNAcentral.